Molecule: ribosomal RNA, 403 nt
Filed under: uncultured bacterium
Lineage: Bacteria
Description: bacterial SSU rRNA
Rfam family: Bacterial small subunit ribosomal RNA
Source: RNAcentral
UGGGGGAUAUUGCACAAUGGGGGAAACCCUGAUGCAGCGACGCCGCGUGUAGGAAGACGGUCCUCUGGAUUGUAAACUACUGUCUUCGGGGACGAUAAUGACGGUACCCGAGGAGGAAGCUCCGGCUAACUACGUGCCAGCAGCCGCGGUAAUACGUAGGGAGCGAGCGUUGUCCGGAAUUACUGGGUGUAAAGGGCAUGUAGGCGGAUGCAAAAGUUAGUGGUGAAAUCCCCGGGCUUAACCUGGGAACUGCCAUUAAAACUGAGUAUCUAGAGUAUUGGAGAGGAUGAUGGAAUAUCCAGUGUAGAGGUGAAAUUCGUAGAUAUUGGAUAGAACACCGGUGGCGAAGGCGAUCAUCUGGCCAUUUACUGACGCUGAGAUGCGAAAGCGUGGGGAGCAAACA